AUUGAACGCUGGCGGCAUGCUUUACGCAUGCAAGUCGAACGGUAACAGGCCGCAAGGUGCUGACGAGUGGCGAACGGGUGAGUAAUGCAUCGGAACGUGCCCAGUCGUGGGGGAUACCGCAGCGAAAGCUGUGCUAAUACCGCAUACGAUCUAUGGAUGAAAGCGGGGGACCGUAAGGCCUCGCGCGAUUGGAGCGGCCGAUGUCAGAUUAGGUAGUUGGUGGGGUAAAGGCUCACCAAGCCAACGAUCUGUAGCUGGUCUGAGAGGACGACCAGCCACACUGGGACUGAGACACGGCCCAGACUCCCACGGGAGGCAGCAGUGGGGAAUUUUGGACAAUGGGCGCAAGCCUGAUCCAGCAAUGCCGCGUGCAGGAAGAAGGCCUUCGGGUUGUAAACUGCUUUUGUGCGGAACGAAAAGGUUUGGGUUAAUACCCUGGGCCGAUGACGGUACCGUAAGAAUAAGCACCGGCUAACUACGUGCCAGCCGCCGCUGUAA
This 498-nucleotide ribosomal RNA is filed under the name uncultured bacterium. RNAcentral's name for it is "partial 16S ribosomal RNA". It matches the Rfam family "Bacterial small subunit ribosomal RNA", at positions 30 to 523 of the family's 1533-position model. The record is from RNAcentral.